Molecule: long non-coding RNA, 968 nt
Organism: Magallana angulata
Lineage: Eukaryota; Metazoa; Mollusca; Bivalvia; Ostreida; Ostreidae
Exons: 3
Source: RefSeq, a predicted model, not a curated record
AUGCUACAAAACGACAGCACAUAAAAAGAAGAACAUUUUUGGGAUAUUUUCUUAAGGAUAAAUGCCGCCUAUAUUGGCAGAUGUCAGGUCAAACAUGUUGGCCUUCAUCUCUCUUAUUGACCGCCUGGACAAGCAUUUUCUUCUCUGUGCCCCGGAAUCGGUAAAGAGAAUAAUCUUUGUGAGAGGGCUUCCUCAUUUGCCGCCUUGGAUCUUUAAAGAAAGAAUGAUAUAUUCAAUAGAGAAAUGAUGAUUGGAAUUUAAAUCCUUUCAGAAUGGCUGAACGUAUAAAUGAUGAUGAGGACAACCACAGUGAUGUCCAAGGGAGAAUUCCAAGAGUUCUUUUAGUCAUACAGGCAAUAACACUUAUCUUAAACAUAGUCUGGUUAGCCUGUGUAGCCGUUGUGCCAAUUGUUAUCAAGGCAUAUGUUGCCUACAAGCGGCUACAUUAAAAAGACCGAAAGAAGAUUACAUGGAGUCUAAAUCAAAACUUUGAGGAAACAAAUUCUAAAACAAAACACUUGCUUCUUCCAUUUUUUGUCUCAACCUAAAGAAAAUCGCAAAGGAGAUGUGAAAAUACAAGCUUCUUUUGACAAAAUCCUUUACAAUUAUGUGUUUUCAACUUUAGAAUAAUAAAUGUAAUUUUGUUUUGAAUGUGUUGAACUAAAAUAUAAAGUAGGGUAUAUCAAAUUCAACCAAAAAGUAUAUCAAAUAUGAAACUUUGAACCACUGUUUCUCUGAAUGAUCAACCUAGCAUUCAUUUGGAAAUUAUUGGGGAAUGCAUGUUCAUGUAAUUUACCUAUUAUGCAAAUUAUAAAACUAAAUCUGUACUUACUAUUUUUGUUAAUUUUUCAUAUUUUUUUUCAUUGUGUCGAGGUUGCUGAACUUUUGCGGACAUUUUGAUUUACCCAACUGUGUUCAUUUAAAGUAUUUAUGUAAUGAAACAUUAAAAAUAAAAAUUUUAACACAAA